AAUUAGCCCUGAUGGAAGCGGCAUCCUUUUUUAUUGUUUUUGUAGAAACGCACUUCGACUGCUCUCAGCGUGACAAAAACAAUAAAAAAGAUUGCUCCGCCAGUUCGCUGC
Molecule: small RNA, 111 nt
Filed under: Flavobacterium dankookense
Lineage: Bacteria; Pseudomonadati; Bacteroidota; Flavobacteriia; Flavobacteriales; Flavobacteriaceae
Description: Flavo-1 RNA
Source: RNAcentral